RNAcentral lists this non-coding RNA (55 nucleotides) under Allobosea sp. Root381. Its description in RNAcentral is "Bosea sp. Root381 nhaA-I RNA". It matches the Rfam family "nhaA-I RNA". From Rfam's summary of the family: Acidobacteria, Alphaproteobacteria, Betaproteobacteria and Gammaproteobacteria, Verrucomicrobia, cand. division NC10. Downstream gene Lineage: Bacteria; Pseudomonadati; Pseudomonadota; Alphaproteobacteria; Hyphomicrobiales; Alloboseaceae. RNAcentral also lists the same sequence under 1 other name. The record is from Rfam by way of RNAcentral.
GGGUGUUCCGCUCGAUUGUGGGUGGGCAGGUUAAGCGCAGGUCGGGCCGCCAGCG